GACGAACGCUGGCGGCGUGCUUAACACAUGCAAGUCGAGCGGUAAGGCUCCUUCGGGAGUACACGAGCGGCGAACGGGUGAGUAACACGUGAGCAAUCUGCCCAUCUCUUUGGAAUAAGCGUUGGAAACGACGUCUAAUGCCGAAUACGACCUCCUUUCGCAUGAUCGGAGGUGGAAAGCUCCGGCGGAGAUGGAUGAGCUCGCGGCCUAUCAGCUAGUUGGGAGGUAACGGCCCACCAAGGCGACGACGGGUAGCCGGCCUGAGAGGGUGACCGGCCACACUGGACUGAGACACGGCCCAGACUCCUACGGGAGGCAGCAGUGGGGAAUAUUGGACAAUGGGCGAAAGCCUGAUCCAGCAACGCCGCGUGAGGGAUGACGGCCUGGUGUAACC
RNAcentral lists this ribosomal RNA (394 nucleotides) under uncultured bacterium. RNAcentral's name for it is "bacterial SSU rRNA". It matches the Rfam family "Bacterial small subunit ribosomal RNA", at positions 28 to 430 of the family's 1533-position model. The record is from RNAcentral.